This 251-nucleotide ribosomal RNA is filed under the name uncultured bacterium. RNAcentral describes it as "partial 16S ribosomal RNA". It matches the Rfam family "Bacterial small subunit ribosomal RNA", at positions 29 to 289 of the family's 1533-position model. The record is from RNAcentral.
ACGAACGCUGGCGGCAUGCCUAAUACAUGCAAGUCGAGCGGUGCAGCAAUGCAUAGCGGCGGACGGGUGAGUAACGCGUGGGCAACCUGCCUCAAAGAUUGGGAUAACACCCCGAAAGGGGUGCUAAUACCGAGUGUGCUCUAGGUGCCGCAUGGCAUAUAGAGGAUAGGAGAAAUCCGUUUUGAGAUGGGCCCGCGUCUGAUUAGCUAGUUGGUAGGGUAGCGGCCUACCAAGGCGACGAUCAGUAGCCG